Molecule: long non-coding RNA, 4340 nt
Organism: Equus caballus (horse)
Lineage: Eukaryota; Metazoa; Chordata; Mammalia; Perissodactyla; Equidae
Source: Ensembl
UGAGAUUACAUCAGUUUCAUUUUCCACUUGGGCCUUUUUUUAAGCGUCCACAUUUGCCACCAAGAAACACACUCAUAACUGGGGGAAAGUUAAGUGCCGUAUAUUUUUGAAUCUCUUGGAGAGGUGAAGGGCCGUUAUUUCCUGCUGGGUACUGUCCUCCUUUUCUUGCUUCACAAACAAAACCCGGAUGUGACUUGGGAACGGAAAAAAAAAAAAAAAAAGAACAAAAAGUAAAACUUCUGUUGUUUCUCCAGGAAAGUGGGCUAGCGCAACCCCAACCCUUGGGCCCCCGCCCAGGCAGGUCCCCCGCGGGCGUGGCACGACCCCCGCAGGGAGAUCAAGCAGCGCGAAGCUUUUCAGCGUCCUGGAGCCGCCUCUCAAACCACUUCCAGCCGCUCCACUUCCAGAGCUGUCCCAGGGCCCGGUUCUGGGGCGAAAAUGCCGGCCCUUCACAUCGAAGAUUUGCCAGAAAAGGAAAAGCUGAAGAUGGAAGUUGAGCAACUUCGCAAGGAGGUGAAGUUGCAGAGACAACAGGUGUCUAAAUGUUCUGAAGAAAUAAAGAAUUACAUUGAAGAACGUUCUGGAGAGGAUCCUCUGGUGAAAGGAAUUCCAGAAGACAAGAAUCCCUUUAAAGAAAAAGGCAGCUGCGUUAUUUCAUAAAUAACUCUGGGGAGACGCUUCAUCCUCAGUGGAAGAACUAGCUUGUUUUAGUUUGCCAGAAUGAAACCGACAUGCCUUUUAAAGAGAAAAAAAAAAAAAGAAUGAAAUUUAAAGGAGACUUUCUUCAGCACUUAUAUAGAUAUGGUUCUGUAUACAAGCUAUGUGCUUCUCAUCUUUGCUCACUACACUCCCCUUUUAAGAGGGCAGAGAGUAUCAAAUGUGCAGUUAUGGAAAGAAGGACAUUACUUGUGCAUGACUCACCUCUUUCAGUAUAUUGCUUGAUGCCUCAAAUAAAGUUUUAUCUCUGAAAAAUGAGUGUUGAUGAUUUAAGACAGCAUUUAAUUUUUUUGGCCUUAAAUUUUAUAUUUUUCCCCAUAACCUUUCUGGUAUUUGGGACAUGUAUCAAAAGAUGAGGUGGUUUGAUAGAUCAGUUCCCCAAUCCAGCUCUCUCUGCUUCAAUUCUUAGGAGGUUUACAGUGCUGAGUUCUGACUUCUGGAAUGUGUCUGAUCUAACGUUAACUAUUAGGGAAUUGAGUGAAUAGAACUGAACGCUAACAGGAAUCAGAUUAUUUGAGUCAGGAACCAGGCCAAGCCAUGCCUACAUAAGCACUUCUGUGGUUUGUCAUCAUACAGAUCUUGUUCAAACUGUUGCCGCAACAGUGGCCUUAGGAUAGGGAGAGGGUUGGGGUCAAGAGGAGCACCCGGGCGCCAGCCCUGGAAUGUUCACCCUCAGGGAGCUGCACCUCCUACAGGCUCUGCAGGUCUUGGCAUGGCCACCCUCCAGCUCUGUGUCAUUGGAACAGAGACUUGGUUCUGCGUGGCUUGGGCCAAGCACUGCUCUUUUCCUUCUCCUCCAAAGGGACAAGUUAACCUUGUACCCAUUUCUAAAAUUAGCUUGCUUUUUUCUCAUUGAUUUGCAGGAGUUUUUAAUAUAUUCUGACCAUGCAUCCUUUGUCGGUGAUAGGUGUUGGAGGUGCCUUCUCCCAGUCCAUGGCUUAACGUUCCACAGCGGGACCAUCGCUGCAGCGAUUUUAGCCCGCAGAUGCAGCACACCAGAGUACAUGGGCUGCUCAAGUCCUUCAUGAAGACACCCGUAGCCGGACCUUAAAGAAAGGGACCUUUCUUCCUCUCUUUGAGCAUUCUUCCUCCCUCUCCCUCUGUCUUUUGGAUGCAAGUUUCACCAGGUUUGAGCCAAAAACAAGACAAGGAAAACCCUUACAGGUUAGCUCCAGCUCAAGUGGGCUCAGUUACUAACUCCUCCUGCAAUUUUACAUAUGACACCAGAAACCCAGGUUUCUGCUUGACGAGGUCUUUUCUCCAGCCUAGAUGCAUAGGUGUGCUUCAUCAAGCCAGAGAGGUGCCUGUGACUCCAGCAGCUUCCUCAAGUCUAUCAGCACCUUCACUAGGAACUACUUUCCCUUCCCUCUCCAAGAAGGAACGGGAUACCCCAGGCUUUUGAAAGAGCAGGUUACGGCAAACCAAGAGCUGGGAAUAUUUCCUUCAGUUUCUUGCCUUUUUUCCAAGUGUUGAAGUCAAUUGGGAUUACUGAGAGCCCAGGGAUAAUUUUACUCCAAAGGAGGAUUUACUCCAAGGUGAGGUUUAAGAACAGCAAAGGUAUUAUUUUUUGCCAGCAGCCAUAGAACAAUUAGUAUUUGGGUUAUGUUGCUAUUAUUUCAUUUAACAUUUAAAGUGGCAUGGGAUUUUAGUACCUUGGUGCUUGUAAAGUUUUACUUUAAUGAACUGUUUCAUUUAAGUCAUAAAGUUUUCUUCUGUUGCAUAAAAAAGCAAACAUCUAUUCUGCUUAUUGGUAAGACAGAUCAAAUCACCUGCUUCCUUCAUGAAAGGCCAACUCAAUGCAUUUAUCCACUAACUUCUUGAAGUUGGGGAUUACAAGGCUGUAUCCUGAAUUUCUAUCAGCCGCAUUCAGCUGCCCAUUCACAUGCAUCUGCAAGUCCUAGCUUCUGCUCUUCCUGUACCUUCAACCAUAUGACAAAUUAGUCAGCCUACUUCUGUUUUUUCACUAAUAAAUAUCCAAUCUUGUAGAUGUUUCUACCAAAUCUAAUCUGUUCUAUUUUCCUUACUGUUUCAUCAUCGUAACUCAGCAAAUCUAUAAGAAGUGUAAUAAAAUACUCUUGAUUUUCAAGUGUUGAACUUAUUAGCUUGCGUUAGGAAGAAAAUGAAAAUAUGGUAACUAUGUAUUUAGAUAUAUUAUAUAAGUAACCUUUAGUAAGUGGGAAUUUGUUAAGUAGAAUUCAAAUCAUGUGUUCAACUUCUUUCAGUAUAUAAUUGUGUAAUCAUUUGAUAUCUGAUUGAUUAAAUACUUAUUAUGCUUUGUGUAUUGAGACUUACGUUCUAUAAACCCACAUUAAAUUAGCAAAAUAGGCUUUCCUAAUUCUAGGCAGAAUCUACAUUACAAGCUCACCCCUACUUGGUAUUUUAAGACAGGUUAUUCUGUAUCUUGGAUGCAAACUGGUAUCUCAUUACUGUCUAAAUUUGCAUUUUCUUGAUUUCCUAUGACUUCUACUGUCAGAUUUUUGUGUACCUUUUGAUUACCUUCACCCAUUUCAACCACGCCCCCCACCCCCUACCAAUGGCAAUCACCACUCUGUCCUCUGUAUCUAUGAACUUGGUUUUCUUUUUUUAGAUUCCACAUAAAAGUGAGAUAAUAUGGUAUUUGUCUUUGUCUGACUUAUUUCACUUAGCACAACGCCCUCAAGAUCCAUCCAUGUUGCUGCAAUGGCAAGAUUUCCUUCUUUUGUUAUGGCUGAAUAAUAUUCUCACAUUUUCUUUAUCCGUUCAUCCAUCAGUGGACAUUUAGGUUGUUUGGCUAUUGUAAAUAAUGCUGCAGUGAACAUGGGGGUACAGAUACCUUUUCGAAUUAGUAUUUUUGUUUUCUUUGAGUAAAUACCCAGAAAUGGAAUUGCUGGAUCAUAUGGUACUUAUAUUUUUAAUUUUUUGAGGAACCUUCAUAUUGUUUUCCAUAGGGGCUGUACCAAUUUACAAUCUCACCAACAGUGCACAAGGGUCCCCUUUUCUCCAAAUCCUUGCAAACACUUGUUAUUCUUGUCUUUUUGAUAAUAGCCAUUCUAACAGGUGUGAGGUGAUAUCUCACUGUGGUUUUGAUUUGCAUUUCCCUGAGGUUUGGUCAUGUUGACCACCUUUUCAUGUACCUAUUUGCAUCUACUUUUACUUGUUUAAAGAAACAUUGAAAGGUUAUACAGGAAAUUACUAAAAAUUGCUACCUAUGAGGACCAGUGGUGAGUAUAACCAGGUGGGAAAAGAUGAGAUUGAGACUUCUCAUUGCAUAUUUUUCUGUAAAGUUUUGAUUUGGGGACCCUGUGAAUAUAUUAUCUAGUUUAAAAAGUCUAAUUUAAAAAUAAAAAAUAGAAGCAAAAUUCAUAUUGCUGUGUUUAGGCCUUGGAGAGUAAGUGUAUUUUGGUAUUAAUGUUCUACGAAUGAGAAAUAAUUUUGUAUAGUCAACGUGAUCUAAUAGUAUAUUUUGAUCUAUUAAGUUUAUCCCACCAAGUAUAACAAAGAUAUUGAGUCAAUAAUAGUUAUAUUCCACUCUUAUCCCCUUUAACUGAGUCUUUGAAGGAUGAUAAUCAAUGAGAAAUAAGCUGCUGUUUCUAACAUAACAGCCUAUGAGAGCAGGGACUAACAACCUAUUUUUGAUUUAAUAG